GAUGGUUGUCGUCAGCUCGUGCCGUGAGGUGUUGGGUUAAGUCCCGCAACGAGCGCAACCCUCAUUGUUAGUUACUACCAUUCAGUUGAGGACUCUAAUGAGACUGCCAACGACAAGUUGGAGGAAGGUGGAGAUGACGUCAAAUCAUCAUGCCCUUUAUGACCUGGGCUACAAACGUACUACAAUGGCCAAUACAAAGAGAUGCGAAGCGGUGACGUGGAGCGAACCUCAGAAAGUUGGUCUCAGUUCAGAUUGAAGUCUGCAACUCGACUUCAUGAAGGCGGAAUCGCUAGUAAUCGCGCAUCAGCCAUGGCGCGGUGAAUACGUUCCCGGACCUU
RNAcentral lists this ribosomal RNA (338 nucleotides) under uncultured Mollicutes bacterium. Its description in RNAcentral is "bacterial SSU rRNA". It matches the Rfam family "Bacterial small subunit ribosomal RNA", at positions 1044 to 1382 of the family's 1533-position model. The record is from RNAcentral. Lineage: Bacteria; Bacillati; Mycoplasmatota; Mollicutes.